RNAcentral lists this ribosomal RNA (618 nucleotides) under uncultured bacterium. RNAcentral describes it as "bacterial SSU rRNA". It matches the Rfam family "Bacterial small subunit ribosomal RNA", at positions 1 to 607 of the family's 1533-position model. The record is from RNAcentral.
CCCUUAGAGUUUGAUCCUGGCUCAGGACGAACGCUGGCGGCGUGCUUAACACAUGCAAGUGGAGCGACGAACCGGGGCUUGCCCCGGGGCAGAGCCGCGAACGGGUGAGUAACACGUGGGUAACCCACCCCGAUGAUUGGGACAACCCGGGGAAACUCGGGCUAAUACCAAAUGUGCUCGAAGAUCACGAGGUCUCCGAGUAAAGAUAGCUUCGGCCUUCGCAUCGGGACGGGCCCGCGGCCCAUUAGCUUGUUGGUGAGGUAACGGCUCACCAAGGCGACGAUGGGUAGCUGGUCUGAGAGGACGAUCAGCCACACUGGGACUGAGACACGGCCCAGACUCCUACGGGAGGCAGCAGUGGGGAAUCUUGCGCAAUGCGCGAAAGCGUGACGCAGCAACGCCGCGUGGAGGAAGACGGUCUUCGGAUUGUAAACUCCUUUCAGUUGGGACGAAGCUCAAGGGGUUAAUAGCCUCGUGGAGUGACGGUACCUUCAGAAGAAGCCCCGGCUAACUACGUGCCAGCAGCCGCGGUAAUACGUAGGGGGCUAGCGUUGUCCGGAAUCAUUGGGCGUAAAGAGCGUGUAGGCGGUCCGGUAAGUCCGCUGUGAAAGUCGGGGG